RNAcentral lists this ribosomal RNA (429 nucleotides) under Bacteroidota bacterium. RNAcentral describes it as "Bacteroidetes bacterium partial 16S ribosomal RNA". It matches the Rfam family "Bacterial small subunit ribosomal RNA", at positions 355 to 776 of the family's 1533-position model. Lineage: Bacteria; Pseudomonadati; Bacteroidota. The record is from RNAcentral.
UAGGGAAUCUUCCGCAAUGGACGCAAGUCUGACGGAGCAACGCCGCGUGAGUGAAGAAGGAUUUCGGUUCGUAAAACUCUGUUGUUAGAGAAGAACAGCGCAUAGAGUAACUGUUAUGCGUGUGACGGUAUCUAACCAGAAAGCCACGGCUAACUACGUGCCAGCAGCCGCGGUAAUACGUAGGUGGCAAGCGUUGUCCGGAUUUAUUGGGCGUAAAGCGAGCGCAGGCGGUCAAUUAAGUCUGAUGUGAAAGCCCCCGGCUCAACCGGGAAGGGUCAUUGGAAACUGGUGGACUUGAGUGCAGAAGAGGAGAGUGGAAUUCGAUGUGUAGCGGUGAAAUGCGUAGAUAUAUGGAGGAACUCCAGUGGCUAUAGCGACUCUGUGGUCUGUAACUGACGCUGAGGCUCGAGAGCGUGGGUAGCAAACAGG